RNAcentral lists this ribosomal RNA (253 nucleotides) under uncultured bacterium. RNAcentral describes it as "partial 16S ribosomal RNA". It matches the Rfam family "Bacterial small subunit ribosomal RNA", at positions 524 to 776 of the family's 1533-position model. The record is from RNAcentral.
UACGUAGGGAGCAAGCGUUGUCCGGAAUCACUGGGCGUAAAGGGCGCGUAGGCGGCCGAUCAAGUCAGGGGUGAAAGCCUGUGGCUCAACCACAGAAUUGCCUUUGAUACUGUUUGGCUCGAGACCGGAAGAGGUUGGUGGAACUGCGAGUGUAGAGGUGAAAUUCGUAGAUAUUCGCAAGAACACCAGUGGCGAAGGCGGCCAACUGGUCCGGAUCUGACGCUGAGGCGCGAAAGCGUGGGGAGCAAACAGG